RNAcentral lists this transfer RNA (19 nucleotides) under Limnodynastes salmini (salmon-striped frog). Its description in RNAcentral is "partial tRNA-Phe". The record is from RNAcentral. Lineage: Eukaryota; Metazoa; Chordata; Amphibia; Anura; Limnodynastidae.
UAAAAAGUCCUUUAGGCAC